RNAcentral lists this ribosomal RNA (491 nucleotides) under uncultured bacterium. Its description in RNAcentral is "partial 16S ribosomal RNA". It matches the Rfam family "Bacterial small subunit ribosomal RNA", at positions 29 to 506 of the family's 1533-position model. The record is from RNAcentral.
AGUGAACGCUGGCGGUAGGCCUAACACAUGCAAGUCGAACGGCAGCACAGUAAGAGCUUGCUCUUACGGGUGGCGAGUGGCGGACGGGUGAGGAAUACAUCGGAAUCUACUUUUUCGUGGGGGAUAACGUAGGGAAACUUACGCUAAUACCGCAUACGACCUACGGGUGAAAGCAGGGGAUCUUCGGACCUUGCGCGAUUGAAUGAGCCGAUGUCGGAUUAGCUAGUUGGCGGGGUAAAGGCCCACCAAGGCGACGAUCCGUAGCUGGUCUGAGAGGAUGAUCAGCCACACUGGAACUGAGACACGGUCCAGACUCGUACGGGAGGCAGCAGUGGGGAAUAUUGGACAAGGGGCGGAAGCCUGAUCCAGCCAUUCCGCGUGGGUGAAGAAGGCCUUCGGGUUGUAAAGCCCUUUUGUUGGGAAAGAAAAGCAGCAGGUUAAUACCCCGCUGUUCUGACGGUACCCAAAGAAUAAGCACCGGCUAACUUCGU